Molecule: ribosomal RNA, 104 nt
Filed under: uncultured bacterium
Lineage: Bacteria
Description: partial 16S ribosomal RNA
Source: RNAcentral
CCGCCGUGGAGGAAUGUAAGCCCCUUCGGGGCGGUAAACUCCUUUCGACCAAGACGAUGAUGACGGUACUGGUGGGUAACGAAGCACCGGCUAAACUCCUGUGC